RNAcentral lists this ribosomal RNA (446 nucleotides) under uncultured bacterium. Its description in RNAcentral is "SSU rRNA". It matches the Rfam family "Bacterial small subunit ribosomal RNA", at positions 26 to 518 of the family's 1533-position model. The record is from RNAcentral.
AGAAUGAACGCUGGCGGCAUGCCUAACACAUGCAAGUCGAACGAAGCCUUCGGGUUUAGUGGCGCACGGGUGCGUAACGCGUGGGAAUCUACCCCUUGGUUCGGAAUAACAGUUGGAAACGACUGCUAAUACCGGAUGAUGACGUAAGUCCAAAGAUUUAUCGCCGAGGGAUGAGCCCGCGUAGGAUUAGGUAGUUGGUGUGGUAAAGGCGCACCAAGCCGACGAUCCUUAGCUGGUCUGAGAGGAUGAUCAGCCACACUGGGACUGAGACACGGCCCAGACUCCUACGGGAGGCAGCAGUGGGGAAUAUCGGACAAUGGGCGAAAGCCUGAUCCAGCAAUGCCGCGUGAGUGAUGAAGGCCUUAGGGUUGUAAAGCUCUUUUACCCGGGAUGAUAAUGACAGUACCGGGAGAAUAAGCUCCGGCUAACUCCGUGCCAGCAGCCGC